This 357-nucleotide long non-coding RNA is filed under the name Brassica napus (rape). RNAcentral's name for it is "long non-coding RNA (BNAP_LNC000793)". Lineage: Eukaryota; Viridiplantae; Streptophyta; Magnoliopsida; Brassicales; Brassicaceae. The record is from RNAcentral.
UUUAACUUGUUCUUUUAUGAACAUAUAUUAUUCUGAUCUGAAUCCUCAUUAUUACAAAAUUAAGAAAUCACUACAAUCAACUAGGCUUCAUAUUCUAGUCUACUUAUUUAUUUUUAUUAAAUAUCAUUUUAACAAUUUCUCAUUCAGCAUAAACUCUGAUUAUUAAGGACAUUUAUAAAUGCAGCGACAUUUUUCCUGUUUUCUGGGCCCAAUAAAAGUACCAACCCCGUUGGCAUUUUUUCUCUUGCACAAAUAGACACAACUUGAACCGGAACAUGGAGCACUAUCUAAAAUAACACCUGUAGGAGUACUAUAUUCCUUGGUAUUUAGAAUUUUGUACAAUUUUUGUUUCCAUAU